CUGUUCACAGAGGACGCCGUUAGAACAGGAAAUAGUUUCUGUUGUUCUCAGUUUUGAACUUUCAUAGUUUUGUGUUAUUUUCUUGUUGUACCUUGUCGGUCCCUCCUUGUGUUCCAUGUCUUGUUUUACUUCUGCUGUCGGGCUGUUCACAUUUCUGGUGUUGGUCAUUCUUACCCUGACCUUGUGGCCCAUGUCUGUACUCCUGUGUUCAGGUUUUUAGGGUUUCCUGUUUUAUUGUUGUGAUAUUUUCUCCCUGUGAGUCCAGUCUGGUUUGUCUUCCUGUGUUGUCCCUCCUGUGUGCCCUCUUUGUCUUCACCUGUGCCCUGUUGUCUCACCACGUGUCUCAUUGCCCAUUGAAAUGAAAUUCAACAGGAAUGCUUACAGAUGUAACAUUUUUGACAUCUGAAUGGCUGGUAACUCUAUCGCCCUAAACGCCACUCUUGACUAAAAUUGCAACGAAAAUAACGAUGUACUUUGAUUCUUAUUCCACAGGAUCGAGGGGAAGCUUGCCUUUUUUCAAUAAGUCACACUGAUAUAAGUGGCAUGGCUCAUUUGAGCUCCCCCUCAGUAACAAUGGUAACUCAUACCACUGAACAAGUCUGCUCCGGGGCAGGUUAACUGUCAAGUUUAGUUUAGUUGUGUGUCGAAAGAUGUCCAAAAGGAGGAAAGAGAGUCUCUAUGACAGCCAUAAGGUGGAUUUAUGUUGCCAAAUUGAUCAUGUUCGGAAGCAAAAGUAAAACAGCAAUUUAAAAUCAUGUCCUAACUCUCAUAAAACCUUUUUUGAUAUCAUACUUUGUCUAUGAUCAGGCAGUAAACUAAACUGUCAAUCCACAUCAAAAACGAUGAUAACUUUGUCUGGAGAAACAUCCAUAAACCCCACAAACACAGCUCACUGUUUAUACCCCCCCUACACAUGCAUGUCUACAUGACAUCUCCGAACAAUACAUGUGUGAAUCCAUUCAAAAAUAUUUUUGUUUUCAGCAGCCCAAGACGCCAUUUUUGUGUGAGGAGGGGCCAAAUGCAACAAUGCAAAGUAUUUUCUGGUUAUGAUGUUUUCAUGCAAACAGGUUAUUGGGUUUUGUUUGGAGUGAAUGGCCCACUUGAAUGCAGAAGACUCUUUUCCUCCCAUUAAAAGAAAAUGCAUUCAUGUGUUGUGAAAAUGAUCCAUCUGCAAAUACGGUGAAAUCACCGGAGUAUGCAGGUCAGGCCAGUGGUUGACAGUGUGUUUUGUAAUGAACCAUCGCUGAAGACCACUAUACGCCUGUGCAUAAAGGCCAGCAUUACCAGAGUAGUGAGUACACACUAUUUUACCCAGCAUGUGCAAAUGGGGAUUUGAAUCCAAAGCGAAUUUACACGGUGAAAGAAGGGGAAGCAUAUAUAAAAAAGAUAUCCAUCCUAUUUCAAAACUUUGUGUUUUAGCCACUAAAACGUCUUCUCACCUCUAAUGAAACGGACAAAAUACAACAGUAGUUUAUCAUUGUCUCUCUAGGUCGUCCUCAGACGAGCCUUCCAUCAUCGCUUCCAGUCAUCCCGAUUCUCCAUACAUCUCGCCAGUUCAUUGGUACUCUGAGCUCCUGCAUCCUCCUUGAGUAUGUCCAUGUAUGUUAUUGUAGGACGUUCCUGAUGCCUUUGGCAGCGUCCUGUUAGUCUCAUUCUCCUUACAGCAAUCUUCUCGCUCACCCUUGGUAUUCCCUCAUACAGUGUUCUGUUGGUUACAUGUGCCUUCUUGCUGAUGUUAAGCACUGCACGCAACAUCCUGGUGUAGCACCAUCUAGGAAUAUCUCCAGGGUUGUCUUCAGGGUCCAGCAUUCACUGCCAUAGAGGACAACGGACUCUACUGUCGCGUAGAAGGAGCUGAGUUUGAUUUGGCGGGGGAGGUUGGAGUUCCAGACACUGGUCAUGCCGUUCAGGGCUCUCCACGCAAGUGCCUUCCUCACUUGUAAGUCUUGUUCAGUUGAGUUGACCCAUGAGCCCAGGUAUUUGAAGUCCUUGACUUCUUUCAGCACAGUGCCUCCUGCUGUAGUCAGAGGUUGAUGUUCUGGUGGAACGUUGUAGGUGAUGACCUCAGUUUGGUCUGGUUAAUAUGAUUCUGUCUCAGACACAGCAGCGAGCCGACCUUAAUAACACGUUUAGUAUUCGCAACACUCAUUCAUGAAACACUACCAGGACUUUUUCCACAAGGCUGGACUAUUGCCUGUCAGUCAAGGCUUUCAGGUCAAAGGUCAGAGGUUAUCCUGUAAGUGUCAGAGGCUUUACAACUACAGACUUCUGACCUCCAGACAACUGAGGAUCUGUUAGAUAAGAGUUUUCACAGGUUGCUGGGAAAAGGUUGAGGUAUACGGCGGAGAAAUAUUAGAGCGUCAGAUAGGUUUCAUCAUGUAAGUAAGAGUUUACUAUGAAUGGAAGUGAAGGACUCCAGUCUGCCCCCCACCUUUUGCAUGGCUGUUUCAAUGAAUGUCUUCAGAGCUUCCUGGGGUUAUUCUUCAGAUUUGAUUCUUUCUGUGAGUAAGCAGCAUGAGUUAUACAGCAGAUGACAGCAGCCAGGUCUUGCAGCCAUACAUGGAGUAAAAUAGGGAGCAGUGCAGUAAUCUGAGAGGCUAACGAAAUUCCCAUCAAACAAAAAAGGGACCACAGAAAACAGACCCCCUGCCGUACUCUUGAUUUUCCCUCGAUGUAACUCGGUGAUUCGUUUUUGUGUUACUAUAAAAAAGGAGAGUAAUAUGACCCGAUUACACACAAGUGGAGCACAAUGCAAGUUUCAAAAGUAGAUGAACUUUGGGUUUUGCUGGCGACAUUAUGUUUAUUCUAUGGCCAAUUCAAUGAAAGAGUUGCCUUUUUCUACAGUUAGUCAGCUCCUCCAGAUCCCUCCUCUUCUUUGAUUGCAGUCUACUUUUAACCUCCCCAAACUGUAACGUAGGUUUACCUUCCUUCUUGUCCUCAUCUUCCCUUUGGCACCAUAUUUCUCCAUUUGUAUGUUUCUUAGUUAUUUGAUGAAGUUUCCCCCUUGUUUACAUCUCUCUCUCUGUGUUGUGGCUGUGUACACGUGUAUCUGUUUCCCUUGCAGCAGGGUUAGUGUGAUUUAUAGGAACGCUGCAGACUGUGGAGAGACUCUGGUUUCAGCUUUGAAGUCUCAGCGACCACAGGACUGCUGGCUAACACACACACACACACAGGGACACACACACAGGCGCACAUAGAGGACCUGUGGAUAAAACACACACUGUCAGUUCCUCUGCCAAAAUUUGAAAAGAGAGAGUCAGCAAGAGAGGGAUGUGACUGGCAGAGAAUGAAGUAAGACAGGAGAGGAAAGAUAUAAAGCCCCCCCAGAAAAAGAGAAACGGAGGGAGAGAGGGAGGGAAAAAGGAGGAAGAGAGAGACGAGGAGAGGAAAUGGUCCCUGCCCACAGAGGUAAAAGGACCCCUUGUCUGUUUCAACAAAGUCACAAUUCAACUCUUUUUAGUUCGGUCUCUGUGGUUCAGUCCCGCCUGUCAUUUAUUCCAGGUUCCCAGACGGUUUGUAUUUCUAAGGAUUCAGCAAGUGCAACUCCUCAUGUACGUAUAUCCUCAGACAAAGGUCCAGCUAAUGAAAGAUACACCCUCGAGCCAAUUACUGAGAUUUAAAACAAUAGAAGCACACAGUUUAAGUUAUGAGUCUGGGUCUAUUAAAUUCACAAUGAGAUGAUAAGAGGAUUAAAGCUGCAAUAGACCUUAGAUACAAUAAUGACAUAUAAGACAUGGAGGUGAAAGAUAAUAGAUAAGUUAAAACAAAAUACAGUGAAAUACAAAGUUCUACUCUGUGAAUGCAGUCCUGUCACCAGAAUUCAAAGUUCAAAACAAUACUCCUCUUAUCAGUCUUCACAGAACCACACAACACCCGCCGUCAUAUCCCUCUGUGUCUUGUUUUCUGAGUGUGUGGGGGGUCUCUAGAGUAUAACAGGAAAUGACAGGCCAAAACAUCAUCCAGAUGAGGACAGAGGGGUUUAACGUAACAGCCAUUGUAGAUUACAGCAGCUGCAAAACAUGGCACUCUUGGUUAUAUAUUGAAUAUCAAACUGUCACAGAUGUUCAGGGUGCCAGUUUGGCUUAGAAGCUGAACUGUGUACCCCUGUCCUAUCCUCUCAAUAACGACAGAACAAGUCAAUGAAUGAGAAUUUCAGUGUCAAUUAAUGAUAAUUAUAAAUAAUUCCUAUCGUUUCAGUCGGGCUCUCACUACGGCUCGGGCCCUAAUAACUUUUGUGUGUCUUUGUGUGGGACUUUUCUUGACAUAUGGCUAACAAAGGUAAGGGGCAUGUAAAUUUCAGUGUGACAUUCUUUAGGCAUGUAAAGAAUGUGUGAUACACACACACACACACACACACACACACACACACACACACAAAAGAGCUGCUGUGCUUUUGCAUCAAAGGGGUGACUUUUAACACCCAUCAGAGGUCAGCCACAGCAGAUCACCCACCGUCAAAGCAGCCAUGACAGUGUCACUCAUUCCCUCGUGUGUGUGAGUCUGUGUCUGUGGGGCGGUGGGGGGGGGGGGGCAACAGAAAGUAAGAGCAAGAGUGACGGAGCAAGAAUGAAGGAGAGAAAUAGAAAGAGCAUGUGUCUCAAUGUUUGUGUGUCACGAGGUCAAAUGAGUCUCUUGGCUUUUUCUGACACCAUUCGAGGCGAGUCAAUGAGCUUACCUGCUGACAAACCCCACUCUCACACAGGCUGUCACACCGCAGGGAGGCUCAGGCAGCUUCGACAACAGUAAAUGUACUUUGACACAUGCAGCAGCAUCAAACAGAGCUGACUGAGGCAAACCAGACAACAAGAGGGUGUUUUUACCUUAAGGCCCUGCUGGGUAAAGCAAAAUACAAAUCAGGACUCCAAAAGAAAUUCAAAGAACAAACUUCAAGUUAGUAGCAAGUCUCUACAUUUUAUAAUUAGAGAAAGCAUUUUGAUAAAAGAUUGCUAAUUUGACUUUUGCAAGACCAGAUUUAGCUCAAUCCCUAAGCCCUACUGGUGGCUUACAGUUUCAUAAUAACUUUAUAGGGCUGUAUUUUCGUUUCUCGCCGGCAGCGUGGUGUAGGCGCAGCGUAAUCAGGUCUGCCAUGCCGACAAGGUGUGCCCAAGCACAUUUGGUACUUUGGUGAGCGGCGCAGCUCAGUGAAAGUAUCCCCCCCUCCCUAACUCAGCUUCUCGUAAGUCGUAGAGAGGGCGUGGAGUGGGUUUAACACAGCCGAGACCUGUUUUCACCAAUCAGAUCAGCUCCUCUCCUCACCUUUAAAUCCUCCACUCAGUCCACGAAAAAAACAAAGUGGCUGUGCUACGGGCUCCGCCAGACGAAAAUACCGCUGCACAGGGUCUGCCACCCUCCGCCGCACCACCAGCGAGCACGAAAAUAGAGCCCAUGAUGUUUUGACACUUUGCAUGUGUGCUGGUUAAAAAUUUGUAGCUCCACUGUCGAGGUAUUCCAAAACCAGGGUAAGGGCCAGGCUGGGAAGUGAGUUUAGCCCCGUAUUUUUUCUAAUGACACAAUUCAAAGUUUGACACAAACCAUGUCAUCACAAAGGAAUGCAUCCUAGACAUGAUGUAACCCGAAUUUAUUAUUUUAUUUGGAAACGAGUUAGCCUGAGCUGCCGAGUCACCCACCGUUUGCUUCUACUGUGAUGUUUUUUUUCCUCCUUAGCCUCAGAGUUAACCGACAACACAGCAAAAACACCAAGUUGUAACCUCAGUGGGCUUAAACAACUCAGAGUUUUAUGCCGUCUUAAUGAAUUCAGUUUAUUUUUUACUUUAUGUCAGUUAUUUUCAGCUGCAUAGAAAUUCCUGAUAAGAAACAUGUCCCCAAAAAGCAUCUCUCUCUCUCUCUCUCAUCUUUUUUUUUUUUAUCUUAUAUGUCACAUACACACGGUGUAAGCUGUAUUUACUCAGAAGUCUGAGCAUCAUUAAAACCAACCAGAGUAUUUUUCCUUCUGCUAUUUGAUCCGAACUGACACAAAAGUUGUUUAAUUAAAGGAAAGUGUUUCUAGGUCAGCAAAGCUCUGUGUUUGGGGCCAGACUACAGCCUGGAUGUCUGUUUCACCCAAACAAUUCCUGGUGGCCACAGUAAAAGAUUUAUGCAUCACUAAUGUAAUUAUUUACUGAGGAAAAGCCUUGUUUAGUUUUCCCAUUUUAGCCCACUUAAUGCACGUCUCGUUGUUCGACAGCGUUUUCCUGACUGUCUUUAUAUGUGCUACUAUAUCUGCUUUCAAUGAAGGAGUGUGCAGAGUAUUAAAAGAGUUCCUCUGUACCCUGACAGAUUUUACUUGACCCCCUCAGAAUGAUAUUUUUGAAUGAGUUACUCUUGCAAGAGCUUUUAUAUUUAAAUGACUAUUUCUGAUACGAUGAAAUGUGGGUGGUCUAAAGUUUGGAAUGUACAGUAUGCCUUAUAUAAAUACACCUAAGGUUAUUGUACAAUAUUGACAUUGUGUACAUUGCAAAUUUCUUGUGUUUAGAGUUUUCAGGACUGCUUUUUGUUUCAUAGUGGAUUCAUUACGAGAAUCAAUAAUAGUCAUGCCAAAGGGCAAGAGAAAAUGCAAAAGAGAAGAGAAAGUCGGGGCGAAGUUGGAUGCAUGCGAUGCAUUUGAAAAUGACACAAAAAGGAGGAAAGCUGAGUCAAGCUAAGUGAUCCCAGAAAAACAUGUGUUUUUUGCCAAAGCAUACAAAGGAACUGACGAGAGAGGAAGAGAUUCUGCUAAGGCAAUUCCCUCUUUAAAAACAUCAAGUUCAAACAGUCACUUCACUGCAAUCUCAGCAUUACUCACAACAUGUCCAGCUCUGUGGAACUAUCUUCUUCUUCCAAUACUGUUCGGUGUUACCAUAUACUGUAUAUACUAUGGACAACUUGGUUCAAUUGGUUAUGACCUAUACUGCAGCCCGUCACCAGAGGGUGCUGUUCUCGCAGUGGCUUCACCCAGCAAGGAGGCAGACGGCGUCCAUUCUAUAUACAGUCUAUGGAUGUUACCAGUAAGCUACAAGCAGGACAGAAAGUUAGCCUUUAAAAUAAGUCAACAACAAUUUAUUUUGAAAACUAUUCACAGACAGGAGUCUCAUAGUAACAUCGACCAUAUGGAGAACAUCAGCUUUUAGUUACUGUCUUACAGAGAACUGACAUUUGUUCAGACUUAGAGCUCUCUGAAAAUGUCAGUCUAGAUAGAAAUGUAAAUAAAGUGAUUACAAAGCUGCAAAAUCACCCCAAAAACUAACAUCGAUGUCAGGUAGCAUUAUAAGUGCCACUAGCACUCACUCGAAUUUCAUUCAUUAUGUUAGUCGGACUUUCAAGGUUACAGAGACGUGAGUAAAAACUUUUAUAUACACAAGCAGCAAUGCAAAAUGAAUUUAUCUGGACACACUUGGUUUUCAGCAUAACAAUGACAUGCCUCUGUCUUUAUACUUUAAGAGGUACCCUGCAACUUUUGACGGAAAGGGACAGACUUUUUUAAAAUUUGCAAAGCAACACACAACAAAGUCCGAUACUUCAUAGAAAUUUUGAGUUAAGGAAACUUUUUUAGUUACAACAGAAGAAGAAAAAUGUGAUUUGACUGAUGAGCCUCCAAAUAUGUUACAGCCUCUCCAAUAACAAAAGCUCAGGCUUGAAAGUGGAGCACAACACAGCUUAAAAGGGACACAAAGAGGUAAAAGUUAAAGCCACUGGCUGAAAGAAGAAAGCCCCAAAUGCUCAAAAUUAAGAAAACAUUAAAGAGGGAAAACAAAAGGAGUCGGAGACCCCAGCCAAGAUGAACAAAAGAUGGAAAGGUGCUGAGCCAGCCACACGGUGAACUCUUGCUCCUAACACCUCCUUUUAAAACUAACCAAGAGAAAAACUAACCUGAGAAAAGAAAAGACUGAUAACUGAUAAAACUCUGCAGGGAAGGCAAAUCAACUCUCUCCAACACAUGCUCCAUAAUAUGUGUGAUCCAGACAGACGUUUCUAUUGCACGACUAUUACUGUCACCUUCUCCUGCCUGAGUGCCGACAACAUCGUGCCUGAAAGCUCUGGUGUACAGCAGGCAGGGGAAGGAGGGAGAGCAAAGAGAAAGAGAGAAAAAAACACUUCAACAAAAGCAACAAAAGCAUAUUUUAUAUCUUUGUGUCCGAGUUUCAGAGUUUUGUCAGUUAGGCCGUCAUCACUUUCAUCUCUGGUUCAAUCUGAGGUCAGAGAGAAAACACUGCGUCCCCUCCUGUCAGAUUCAUUGUUGUUUUUUUCUUUCUCUGUCUCUUUUCUCAUGUCCCAUUAAGAUUACACUCUAAGAUCUCUGUGGCAGAAAUGCUCUGAAUUAGCCUGCACAGAUUUCGACUGGUUACUGCAGUGACUAUUCUCUCUCAGUAUUUGAUAAGUAGUGAUAGAUUGCUUCAGAGAAAAAUCAUCCAUGUAUUCUCUGAAGAACUACAAUCCCAUGAGAUCUAAUCCUGCGAAAGCCAGUUCCUUAAUGUCCGGACCAACCACAAUCUUCUACGUCAUCCGAACCAACUUCCAGCCAACCAUAUAGCAUGACGUCAUCAAAAGGUGCCGGGCCGAUCCAGAUGUGUUUGGGCUGAUCUGGCAGCUCCGAGUCCCAUAACCAUGAUUAUAUCUCGCAUAAUUUAUUGGAGAGUACAGACAGUUUAGCUGUUUCCUAUAGAAACUUAUCAGAUUACAUUCUCAUCAUUUAAAGCACAAAUUAAAUCAAUAGUAAAUAUGGAAAAUAGUAAUGGUCCGAGGCAGCUAGCCUGGGUUACUCCACACUGUAAAUAUUUAGGGAAGGAAGUACUACAAUUAAAGAACACAUAUGUCUAUUGAUCCUGUUAGAUAAAUAACUCUUCAUCAAGUGGUUGCUGUUGGACUGAACUUGACUUAGUGUUUUUAAUAAUAAACAAUGUCUAUAAUAUCGAAUGUUGCGCUCAAGUCAAGUAAUAAAGUCCCAACUAUCAUCCUAUUAUCAAUACAAGUCAAGCAUGUAUCUGUCAUGAUCUUCUGCCUGCUGAAAAUGGCAAGAGAAAAAUAAUGUAUGAUUUGUUCAUGAGCAAAAUUUUCCAUUAGCGUGACACUGGAAGAACACUGAUUGGUCUGUUAUUGUCAGCUGAGAAACUCUCCUGUUAAGUAUCUUCUAUAGCAACAGUGAUUGCAUGUGUUGUUAUGCCUACAAAGUGUGUAUGUGUGCGAUAAGUCUACAUGAUGGAGGAAGACACUGUGAUUCACCCUAAAGCA
RNAcentral lists this long non-coding RNA (9204 nucleotides) under Xyrichtys novacula (pearly razorfish). Lineage: Eukaryota; Metazoa; Chordata; Actinopteri; Labriformes; Labridae. The record is from RNAcentral.